This 655-nucleotide ribosomal RNA is filed under the name Escherichia coli. RNAcentral's name for it is "partial 23S ribosomal RNA". It matches the Rfam family "Bacterial large subunit ribosomal RNA", at positions 2267 to 2916 of the family's 2925-position model. Lineage: Bacteria; Pseudomonadati; Pseudomonadota; Gammaproteobacteria; Enterobacterales; Enterobacteriaceae. The record is from RNAcentral.
AGUUUGACUGGGGCGGUCUCCUCCUAAAGAGUAACGGAGGAGCACGAAGGUUGGCUAAUCCUGGUCGGACAUCAGGAGGUUAGUGCAAUGGCAUAAGCCAGCUUGACUGCGAGCGUGACGGCGCGAGCAGGUGCGAAAGCAGGUCAUAGUGAUCCGGUGGUUCUGAAUGGAAGGGCCAUCGCUCAACGGAUAAAAGGUACUCCGGGGAUAACAGGCUGAUACCGCCCAAGAGUUCAUAUCGACGGCGGUGUUUGGCACCUCGAUGUCGGCUCAUCACAUCCUGGGGCUGAAGUAGGUCCCAAGGGUAUGGCUGUUCGCCAUUUAAAGUGGUACGCGAGCUGGGUUUAGAACGUCGUGAGACAGUUCGGUCCCUAUCUGCCGUGGGCGCUGGAGAACUGAGGGGGGCUGCUCCUAGUACGAGAGGACCGGAGUGGACGCAUCACUGGUGUUCGGGUUGUCAUGCCAAUGGCACUGCCCGGUAGCUAAAUGCGGAAGAGAUAAGUGCUGAAAGCAUCUAAGCACGAAACUUGCCCCGAGAUGAGUUCUCCCUGACUCCCUGAGAGUCCUGAAGGAACGUUGAAGACGACGACGUUGAUAGGCCGGGUGUGUAAGCGCAGCGAUGCGUUGAGCUAACCGGUACUAAUGAACCGUGAGG